RNAcentral lists this ribosomal RNA (295 nucleotides) under uncultured Sphingobacteriales bacterium. RNAcentral's name for it is "partial 16S ribosomal RNA". It matches the Rfam family "Bacterial small subunit ribosomal RNA", at positions 1089 to 1382 of the family's 1533-position model. Lineage: Bacteria; Pseudomonadati; Bacteroidota; Sphingobacteriia; Sphingobacteriales. The record is from RNAcentral.
AUAACGAGCGCAACCCUUAUCGUAGUUGCCAGCGGGGUAAAUGCCGGGAACUCUAGCGAAACUGCCGGUGUAAACCGAGAGGAAGGUGGGGAUGACGUCAAAUCAGCACGGCCCUUAUGUCCAGGGCUACACACGUGUUACAAUGGCCGGUACAGAGGGCAGCUACCUGUUGACAGGAUGCGAAUCUCGAAAGCCGGUCUCAGUUCGGAUCGGAGUCUGCAACCCGACUCCGUGAAGCUGGAUUCGCUAGUAAUCGCGCAUCAGCCAUGGCGCGGUGAAUACGUUCCCGGGCCUU